Long non-coding RNA from Syngnathoides biaculeatus (alligator pipefish), 390 nucleotides. RefSeq lists it as uncharacterized. The record is from RefSeq and is a predicted model, not a curated record. The transcript has 3 exons. NCBI's taxonomy places the organism in Eukaryota, Metazoa, Chordata, Actinopteri, Syngnathiformes, Syngnathidae.
CCGUUGUAGCCCGAGUUGACUGGACGCGGGUGGAGGGGGGAGAACGAGAAGAAGAAGAAGAAGAAGAAGAGGAAAUAAAGGAGGGGUAAACAUGGAUGUGACUUGAAGGAUUUACGGCCCCGUUUUGGGAUAUUUCAAAGUUUUAUCCGGGCCCAUGGAACUCGCGUACUGCAAGUGACUCUUGGCCUACUCACUAAUGGCGAAGUUCUGCCGGCGCGCCUUCAACCUGCCCACACACGUUUAGCUAACCGGCUCAAGGAAGGUUGAAGGCGUGCGACCAGUACUUCCUGUCAUGGGCGUGGCCAGGACGCCCCCCGCAGCGGCGCUUCACCUGCGGCUGCCAAGUAUUUGGGGUCCUCGCAGUGCGGGUUUUUUUUUUUUUUUUUUUUU